UCGAUGAACUGCUCAUUCCCCUUCCCAUGUUCUUUCCUGUAAUACAUCGGUCUCACAUUGACCAAGAUUGAACAACUAUCCGUAUCCUCUACAAAUCAAAGAUCUCGUGCACUAAAUUGCUCAAUUCCUCCGAUUCACCCUCUGUCCUCAAAUCCCCACAGCCACAGAUCCAUUCCUCUCCAUAUCAAUCUUUUCUGAAUCGAAUUAGUUUGCUUCUUUUUUCUAGGCACGGCAGCUAGUUAUUUAAGUAUUCGUGGAUUAAUUGAGUUGUUCAUAACUUAAUUUCGGGUUUGCAAUUUUGUUCAGGCUGUAAAAUUUGGCGAAAUCUUUUGUGACCACAUGGGUUACGUUGGAAAGGAAAUUCAGAUCCCAUGUAUAUGGAUUAGCGAUGAUGGCCACACGACUGUUGGACGGCCACACGGCAGCUUGCUGUUCCCUCACUGGAGCUGCACAUUUCUACAGAUGAGUCUUCACUGAUGCUCAUUGCUGGUGCUGGUACCAUGGUGUGGAUAUCUAUCAUCUGGGAGUAGGUAGGUCGCUGGGAGUGUCUUUGGAUAUAUAUGCUUCCUUCUAUCCAGGUGCCAUGUGUUCCUCGGUGAGAUUGGCUAGGUACCAGAGGUGAACUCUAUUCUUUUUUUGAAAUGAACUGUAUCUUGUUUGUUGAAAAAAACUGUACCUUGUUUUCGGUAAAUCUCAUGUCCUGGAUACUUCUGACAAUAGCAACUGAGCAUUGAGUUGUGAUCUUGACGUAACCAAGCCUUCUGCAUGCUCUGCCUCAUGUUGUAGUUUGUACCGAUUAUACUGUGCUGAUUUUUUUCCUUCUUAACAAUCAUUUUUUGCAAAUUCCAAAUUUGAUGUGCUAAUCUAUAAGUAGGCUGAUGGAGGCACAGAAAAGCUUGAUUCCUAAUUGAAGGCGCUAAUCCUUUUUUCUCAAUAGCUAUUGUAUUAGAAUCCUCUCAUAUUAAUCCAGCCCAACCACCCUCCAUUUGUUAGCUUGAAUCAGCGUUAUAAGUAUAGAUUGAUGACAAUUCCACCAUGAUUUUGUAUUCUUUACUCAUUUGACGGUAGCGAUGUUUUUGCAUCUGUGCAUCAUCCCAAGAUGGUGUAUUUAGUUCUCUACUCCCUCCAUCGUGAAGGUCAGCCAUGAGAGCAAAAACGCGAUGUAUGUGUACUCAAAUGGGACUUCAUUUCCUGAAUUUCAUUCUCUGAAAGGCUCCAUUGAAUCCGUAGUGUCCCUCUCUUGUGGAUUCAAAUGAGACGUGCACCAUGCUCCUCUCAUCUGUAUUCAGGAUUGUUAGAUCUUUAUAUGAUUCUGAAUUAUAGAACUAUAAACAAAAAAAAAUACAUCGACUGAGGCACAGAAAAGCAUGAGUUAGAUGUGGGUUAAUUUGCAUUUCAGAAUUAAUUCGUAACCCCAAAAGAAAUCGUUCCUUUUAGACAAGGGUAUGCAGUAUGCAAUUAACUGAUAGAGUGUACUCACAAAAGAUAGGGUGAACUUCAAUCUGGUUCUGUCAGAUUUCAGAGCAUAUUGACAGUGUGUAAUACUAUCUAGAGUCCAGGUUUCUGCCUUGUUUGGCCCAUGAAAUUUGGAAUAACUUUUUGCAUGUUGCCUUGUUUUUGACUGUCAAUUACGUUAGAUAAUAUGUAUAUGUAAUCCAAAAGAAAGGUGUACAAUUAUCAGCCUAUUAGUAGUCCCAAAUUUUUGUGAUGUAUCUGUGCAGGAGCAACUAGUUCAGCUUUGUUCUAGUUUGGUGACGCGAGCAGUCCCAAAUUUCCCUUUGUGUGCAGACCAAAGACCCUUUCCACGAGAGCAUCUUCAGCAUGAUGCUCCUUGGGAAGCUCAGCUGUUGGCAUAAGAGCUCCAAGGUAACAUUUGAGCAGAUUGGUCAAAACAAGUUUGAGUUUUGUUUGCAUUGUGGAAGACAUCGAAACAAGCUGUUAGAUGACGAUGAAGGCUGAAAUACCUCAAGGGACUAGAAAAUUCAUGUUAGCAUAAUUGUCCAUGUCUUUUGGAGACAUCCAUUUGUAUGACUGUAAUAUGAACCUGCUUCCUAAGUCCUAACCCUUCAGAUGGCGCAAGUAGCUUAUUUGCUUCAAUUGUGUGCCAAUCAUUCACAAUUUAGAUAGUUGGCCCGAGAUAUGUAAAUUAUACACUAAUUAUAAGAUAAGGUUUCCCAUGGGCCAGCCUUUUUUUUCAUUGUUUA
Panicum virgatum (switchgrass) is the source of this 2204-nucleotide long non-coding RNA. RefSeq lists it as uncharacterized. NCBI's taxonomy places the organism in Eukaryota, Viridiplantae, Streptophyta, Magnoliopsida, Poales, Poaceae. The record is from RefSeq and is a predicted model, not a curated record. The transcript is spliced from 4 exons.